RNAcentral lists this ribosomal RNA (443 nucleotides) under uncultured bacterium. Its description in RNAcentral is "bacterial SSU rRNA". It matches the Rfam family "Bacterial small subunit ribosomal RNA", at positions 29 to 505 of the family's 1533-position model. The record is from RNAcentral.
ACGAACGCUGGCGGCAGGCUUAACACAUGCAAGUCGAACGCCCCGCAAGGGGAGUGGCGCACGGGUGAGGAACACGUGGGGAUCUGCCCUUUAGUUCGGAACAACACUGGGAAACUGGUGCUAAUACCGGAUAUACCUUUUGGUCUUGGCGACCGAUUGGGAAAGAUUUACCGCUGAAGGAUGAACCCGCGUCUGAUUAGCUAGUUGGUGAGGUAAUGGCUCACCAAGGCGACGAUCAGUAGCUGGUCUGAGAGGACGAUCAGCCACACUGGAACUGAGACACGGUCCAGACUCCUACGGGAGGCAGCAGUGGGGAAUAUUGGACAAUGGGCGAAAGCCUGAUCCAGCCAUGCCGCGUGAGUGAUGAAGGCCUUCGGGUUGUAAAGCUCUUUUAGAUGGGAAGAUAAUGACGGUACCAUCAGAAUAAGCCCCGGCUAACUUCG